Molecule: ribosomal RNA, 746 nt
Filed under: uncultured bacterium
Lineage: Bacteria
Description: bacterial SSU rRNA
Rfam family: Bacterial small subunit ribosomal RNA
Source: RNAcentral
GGCAAAUGGAAUUCCCAGUGUAGCAGUGAAAUGCGUAGAGAUUGGGAGGAACACCAGUGGCGAAGACGAUUGCUGGACUGCAACUGACGUUGAGAUGCGAAAGCUAGGGGAGCAAACGGGAUUAGAUACCCCGGUAGUCCUAGCCGUAAACGAUGGAUACUAGGUGUAGAGGGUAUCGACCCCUUCUGUGCCGCAGCGAACGCAAUAAGUAUCCCGCCUGGGGAGUACGGUCGCAAGACUGAAACUCAAAGGAAUUGACGGGGGCCCGCACAAGCAGUGGAGCAUGUGGUUUAAUUCGACGCAACCCGAAGAACCUUACCAGGUCUUGACAUUUAUGGAACGAGGUAGAGAUACCUUGGUGCCCUUUCGGGGGAACCAUAAAACAGGUGGUGCAUGGUUGUCGUCAGCUCGUGUCGUGAGAUGUUGGGUUAAGUCCCGCAACGAGCGCAACCCUUGAUAAUAGUUGCCAGCAAGUAAGGUUGGGCACUCUAUUGUGACUGCCGUAGAUAAUACGGAGGAAGGUGGGGAUGACGUCAAAUCAUCAUGCCCUAUAUGACCUGGGCUACACACGUGCUACAAUGGGGUGAACAACGGGAAGCAAGCCAGCGAUGGUAAGCGGACCCCUAAAAACACCUCUCAGUUCAGAUUGCAGGCUGCAACCCGCCUGCAUGAAGUCGGAAUUGCUAGUAAUCGCGGAUCAGCAAGCCGCGGUGAAUACGUUCCCGGGCCUUGUACACACCGCCCGU